UGUAAACCUAGCCCAGCUACACUGCUCAACAAAAAACUAUUCUCACCAUUGGGCCUGGUAAAAGACCAGAGGAAAAGUAUGAUAAUAAUAGACCCAUAGAACCACUAUACAAUACAACAUAUAGCAGGCCAGGUUUAUACAGCACAGAAGCUUUUCAAGAAAAGAAUACAUGAUUUCCUUGAUAUGAAAUAGCCUGGUCUGGUAAACAAAACUAGUAUUGUCCUAUAAGCAAUUCCUAUGCCUCCUGUCCACUACUCAUAACAAUACAACAUCUUUACAAUUUACAUACAUUUAAAACAUUAACAUGUAGUGGAAUAAUUGUCCUAUUGCAUGGCUGAAAAUACAAGUGAGUGGUGUGAAACUACAAUAAGCCAUUUCCAUGCUUCCGUUUUAAAACACCUACUCAUUCCAGGGUUUUCUUUAUGUUUGCCUAUUUUCUAAUAAUCACGAAGACAUCAGUGAAGACAUUAAAACACAUAUGGAAUCAUUUAGUAAACAAAUCUAAAUAUAUUUUAUAUUUGAGAUUCUUGAAAUAGCCACCCUUUACCUUGAAUAUAUGCUUUUGGGUCUCAAUUUAAGGUUAGGGUUAGGAAUUAGGGUCAGCAGUGUGGUUUAGGUUAGGAAUUAAAGUCAGCAGUGUGGUUUAGGUUAGGGUUAGAAAUUUGUGUCAGCAGUGUAGUUUAGGUUAGGGUUAGGAAUUAGGGUCAGCAGUGUGGUUUAGGUUAGGGUUAAGAUUAUGGUUAAGCAUUAAGGUUAGGGUUAAGGUUAGGGUUAAGCAUUAAGGUUAGGGUUAAGGUUAGGGUUAGGGUUGAGGGUUAAGGUUAGGGUUAAGGUUAGGGUUAAGCAUUAAGGUUAGGGUUAAGCAUUAAAGUUAGGGUUAAGAUUAUGGUUAAGCAUUAAGGUUAGGGUUAAGAUUAUGGUUAAGCAUUACGGUUAGGGUUAAGGUUAGGGAUAAAAUUAUGGUUAAGCAUUAAGGUUAGGGUUAAGGUUAGGGUUAAGCAUUAAGGUUAGGGUUAAGGUUAGGGUUAAGCAUUAAGGUUAGGGUUAAGGUUAGGGUUAAGCAUUAAGGUUAGGGUUAUGUUUAAAUCUGAUUUUAGAAAUGUUUGGCUGUGCCAGCUAGUGACCACUCUGCAGGGCAGACUCCAGAUUCAUGAUGAGAAACAGGUUGAACAUGCAAUACAUCUUGUCAACAGCAACCUUUAAGCAUAGUACCUUAUUGAUACAUCAAAUGUGUGAUUCGUCCUGUUUCUUUUUGUCAUAUCCCUUGUUGUAUGGUGUGUUUCCAUGUGAUUUAAUUUUCACAUCCAUACUGCCUGCUUUAAAAAGGUACAGACUGAGAUUCAACUUCUUGUCGUUUGUAAACAACAGAGUAAUAAAACCAUAUAUUUUAGGUCAUAAUAAAGACAGUGGUGCUAAACUCAUUAUAUUAUUCAGGAAUCAAUGGGUAUACAUCAAUCAUUGAAAUGACCAUUAAACAGCUUCUCAAGUCCCAGACUGACCGCUUUAGGUCCAGCUCUCCCUUCUCUGAGACUCUCCCCUCAGUCCACUCUGACUGGGAGGCUGGGUGAGAAAUAAGGCUGAAUUUCUGCUGGCCCUGACAGGACCCAAUCCCUCAUCUGCUGGGAUUUAUGGAAGAAAAUCAAAGUCGUUCAGCUCCUUCAUCUCAACACACACACACACACACACACACACACACACACACACACACACACACACACACACACACACACAC
Molecule: long non-coding RNA, 1732 nt
Organism: Oncorhynchus keta (chum salmon)
Lineage: Eukaryota; Metazoa; Chordata; Actinopteri; Salmoniformes; Salmonidae
Exons: 3
Source: RefSeq, a predicted model, not a curated record